Molecule: ribosomal RNA, 450 nt
Filed under: uncultured bacterium
Lineage: Bacteria
Description: partial 16S ribosomal RNA
Rfam family: Bacterial small subunit ribosomal RNA
Source: RNAcentral
GUGGGGAAUAUUGGACAAUGGGCGAAAGCCUGAUCCAGCCAUGCCGCGUGCAGGAUGAAGGCCUUCGGGUUGUAAACUGCUUUUGUACGGAACGAAAAGACUCCUUCUAAUAAAGGGGGUCCAUGACGGUACCGUAAGAAUAAGCACCGGCUAACUACGUGCCAGCAGCCGCGGUAAUACGUAGGGUGCAAGCGUUAAUCGGAAUUACUGGGCGUAAAGCGUGCGCAGGCGGUUAUAUAAGACAGAUGUGAAAUCCCCGGGCUCAACCUGGGAACUGCAUUUGUGACUGUAUAGCUAGAGUACGGUAGAGGGGGAUGGAAUUCCGCGUGUAGCAGUGAAAUGCGUAGAUAUGCGGAGGAACACCGAUGGGGAAGGCAAUCCCCUGGACCUGUACUGACGCUCAUGCACGAAAGCGUGGGGAGCAAACAGGAUUAGAUACCCGUGUAGUCC